This 354-nucleotide ribosomal RNA is filed under the name uncultured bacterium. RNAcentral describes it as "partial 16S ribosomal RNA". It matches the Rfam family "Bacterial small subunit ribosomal RNA", at positions 338 to 709 of the family's 1533-position model. The record is from RNAcentral.
CCUACGGGAGGCAGCAGUAGGGAAUAUUGCACAAUGGGGGAAACCCUGAUGCAGCAACGCCGCGUGGAGGAUGAAGCUUCUCGGCUCGUAAACUCCUUUUGUCAGAGAAGAUAAUGACGGUAUCUAACGAAUAAGCACCGGCUAACUCCGUGCCAGCAGCCGCGGUAAUACGGAGGGUGCAAGCGUUAUCCGGAAUUACUGGGCGUAAAGGGCGCGUAGGCGGGGAUGCAAGUCAGGUGUGAAAUCCUAGGGCUUAACCAUAGAACUGCAUUUGAAACUGUUUUGCUAGAGUAUGGGAGGGGUAGGUGGAAUUCCUGGUGUAGGGGUGAAAUGCGUAGAUAUCAAGAGGAAUAC